This 76-nucleotide transfer RNA is filed under the name Xanthobacteraceae bacterium. RNAcentral describes it as "tRNA-Thr". It matches the Rfam family "tRNA". Rfam says of the family: Transfer RNA (tRNA) molecules are approximately 80 nucleotides in length. Their secondary structure includes four short double-helical elements and three loops (D, anti-codon, and T loops). Lineage: Bacteria; Pseudomonadati; Pseudomonadota; Alphaproteobacteria; Hyphomicrobiales; Xanthobacteraceae. The record is from RNAcentral.
GCCGGUUUAGCUCAGCUGGUAGAGCACCCGCCUUGUAAGCGGGAGGUCGCAGGUUCGAUUCCUGCAGCCGGCACCA